UGGGGAAUAUUGCACAAUGGGGGAAACCCUGAUGCAGCCAUGCCGCGUGUGUGAAGAAGGCCUUCGGGUUGUAAAGCACUUUCAGCGAGGAGGAAAGGUUGAUGCCUAAUACGUAUCAACUGUGACGUUACUCGCAGAAGAAGCACCGGCUAACUCCGUGCCAGCAGCCGCGGUAAUACGGAGGGUGCAAGCGUUAAUCGGAAUUACUGGGCGUAAAGCGCACGCAGGCGGUUGGAUAAAUUAGAUGUGAAAGCCCCGGGCUCAACCUGGGAAUUGCAUUUAAAACUGUCCAGCUAGAGUCUUGUAGAGGGGGGUAGAAUUCCAGGUGUAGCGGUGAAAUGCGUAGAGAUCUGGAGGAAUACCGGUGGCGAAGGCGGCCCCCUGGACAAAGACUGACGCUCAGGUGCGAAAGCGUGGGGAGCAAACA
This 427-nucleotide ribosomal RNA is filed under the name uncultured bacterium. RNAcentral's name for it is "partial 16S ribosomal RNA". It matches the Rfam family "Bacterial small subunit ribosomal RNA", at positions 355 to 774 of the family's 1533-position model. The record is from RNAcentral.